RNAcentral lists this long non-coding RNA (1824 nucleotides) under Cyanistes caeruleus (blue tit). RNAcentral's name for it is "lncRNA (ENSCCEG00000003505.1)". Lineage: Eukaryota; Metazoa; Chordata; Aves; Passeriformes; Paridae. The record is from RNAcentral.
CGCUCCCGCCGCGCGGCUCGGCCCCGCAGCCAAUCGGGAGCCCUGGCGCUGCCCUAAGGGGGCAGGAGACGCGCCGGGGCCGAAAGCUGGCGCGGUGAUUGGCUGAGAGAGGGCGGGGCGGGGCGUGGCCGGAGGAGGAGGAGGAUGAGGAGGAUGGAGGAAGACGAGGAGGAGGAGCGGGGCCGCCCGACUUCCUGACCGCGUGUCGGGCCGGGGGAUGCGGCGGCGGAGCUACGUGAGGCGAGCGGGGCCGCGCACACAGCGCCCCCCGCGGCGCGGAGGAGUCGCCGAGGUAGCGCCGCGAGGGCCGCGCUGGAGGUCCCGAGCGUUCCCGCUCUGGAAACACUUGGUUCUAAACGGACCAAAAGCUUCUGGAAAAAGGGAUUUACAGCAAGUUUUUCUUCUUCUGAUGAGGCACUGGACUGGCAUGGCUUUUACCGAGGCAGCAGGUCGCUGUAUGUACAAGGAAGAAGGUGCCUGCCCGUGAUUUGCUGUUAUUCCGUGGAGGAUUUCGCAUCAGUUCCCUGAUUGCGUGCUUGGAUGAUGGGGCCUCUGUGUAUGCAGAUGACCGUCGUAGUGUUAGUUUUCCUAUUAUUAUGCUGAACGAUCAAAAAAUUUUAAAUGUCAUUGAAAACCAUAGUAUAUUUAAAACAAAUAAAACAGAGUCUAGUAGCAUACUGCCCUUCAAAUGGAAUUGUACUCUCAAAUUGUGAACGCUUUCUUGCAUGCUGCUCCUCACUUUCUCGGUUUAAAUUCCCUUCUUGCAGCCUCACAGUCUGAGAUGCCACGGAGAAUUUGUGUUAUGUCACAGUUACUUAGUUGCAGGAUGUCAUCCCAGUUGUACCAUUUCUGCCUCCUGUUUCUGAAGCCUUUUCUCGACAAGCACAUGCAGUUUUACCAGGUGACAGGCACCUCCUGCUCUUUCUCUAUUCAGAGCAGUAGAUCUCCUUCCUGCUCAGUGGCUGCACUCCCAAGCAAUUCAGAGACUCUGCAACCUGUGUCACUUUUCUAAGGGGAGCAUCCUAGACAGACUUGGCUGAGAGCACUUCACCAGGGUUCAUAAUUGUAUUUUUGGUCAAUAGUAAUACUAGAAACAGGCAAGUAAAACCAGACAGGGUGUAGCCCAGUUCAUGUUCCAGCUGACUGAUACUAAAAAGGAAAAAAAACAAACCAAACAAAAAAAAAACAACAACCAAAAACACCCCAAAAAAGCCCCCUUUAACUUGUUUAUAUUUCUGUCCCAUUUAUAAGUCUGGCAGUAGUAGUUGCAGACACAGUUAGCCAGCUACCCUAAUCCUGCUAGGUCUGCCCCUGGCAUGCACAGGCACAUUCCAGGGUUAAUGCACAAAGACUGUUCUGUCACCAAAGUCUUCCAAAGUACAUUUACAGAAGAGACUGAAGGCUCAAUUGUGGCCCAGGUACUAGAUUUUACCUAAGUUGCUCUGGUGUUGACAGCAAUUUAUGUCAGACUGCAGCUGAAAACUGGAGCAGCAGCCCCCAGGGACUCCAGGAUUAAUAUUCACUCUGAGUGCUAGGCUGCACUGAUGUCUCCUUGCUGCCUCCAGCACCUGUACCAUGGCAUGUGCUACCUUACUUAGAGCUAUGUCUGCCCACACUGUAAUCACCUUCUCACACAUCUGUGUGGACCCGGCUCUGGCUUCUAAAACUGGCAAAGCCCCAUGGAAAGAGGAGGCAGCAGACUGAUGCACAUCUGCACCUCCAGCCCCCUUGGAUCCCUGGAAGAGGAGAUGUUUGUGUGAGCAUGAGUGUCCAGUAAAAGUUUUAUGCCCAGCGAGUAAAUGGUCUGGCAGAGUCUGGGGAGAC